GAGAGCUUACAGUACAGUCAGCGAGAUGAGGCAGGUAUGAAGAUUCCAGUGCAUGCAAUGCAGUGUGUUAUAAAAGUCCCAUGACUACCAGAGGGAAUACAGAUGUAAAACUUAGGAGGAAAAGAAAUCACUCUGGAUGAGCCAGUCAGGUAAGUUUACAUGGAAUAAGUAGAAAUGGGUCUUGAAAGAUGGGUACGAGUUUGAUAGGUGAAUUUGAAGAUACAGAUAGCACCUUCUGUGUAGAGGAAACAAGAAAAGACAAAAGCAGUAAAGCAAGAAGAAAUGUGGGAGGUUAGUCAAGUUUUUUUUUCUAGAAUUCUCAAGUUGUAGAGCCAGAAUUAAGAGUAGCUUAAGUGUUAAGCUAAAAAAAAUUGAAUUUUAUUUUGGUAGGCAACUAAAACUAGAAAUAGUUUAUCAUGCGCCUAUGGUAGAGAGGCUACUUUUAAAAGCAGAACACUGACAUUUAAUCCUUGCCAUGGACUGGUGAACUAAGUACAGUAUUGUACCCAAGUAGAGUAAUCUUUUGACAGAUGAAAUGACUAAGGCCCAGGUGAGCAAGUACCCUAGCUAAUGGCAGUGCUGGAACUAAAUCUAAUCUAAUCUUCUCCACGGAAUUUCGUUCUUCUGGGCACCUUGUUAGAAUAAGGCUGUUGGGAGGUGGAGACCACAGAUUUCUUGUCUAAAAGUUGUCAGAGGUUUUGGUAGAAAAGCCAAGCUUAAAGCAGGUCUGAAACUUGGCAGACUACUUGGCAAUAUACAACAGGUACUCUUAAUGGAUGGAAGUAUAAGGAAUUAUAGGAAGCUCAUAAUUUACAUUAAAAAGGCCUUUUGUGAUUUGAUAUAGUCUGGAAUAUCUUUAAGGAGGGAGGGAGGGAUACAGGUCAUUAGCUAUGAUAAAGGAGAAAAAAAUAAGGACAUAUCUGACUGCAUAUAGUGGUCCUAAAGCAGCAUAGCAUUGCUGUGUCAUCAAAAGAACUAUUUUUAUUCAUUUUAUUUUCCACCUCACCUAUCUUGCCCUCAAAAAACUUUAAAAAAUUCUUUAAGAAUUUUCUUUUCUUUGAGAUGGGCUCUUUCCCUGGAUCCCAGCUAUUUCCUACCAAUAUUUUGUUAAGGCAGAACGUCCACGUUUUCCAUGUGAAGCUGAAUCUGUUGUCUCUCCCUUUAACUGUGGGUUUUAUUUUACACCUGAUUUAUAAUCAUUUGGGAUUUUUUUUUCUGAUUCUUCUGUUGUCUCAUGACUUUUUUUUUUCUUCCCCCAAAGGCGACAGCCCUGUACUGUGUCUGAAAUUUUCCAUUUUUGUUGGGUGCUUUUUAUAUAUGCAAAAGGUAAGAAAAUAGUAAUAUUUAUUUAGAUUUAAUAUGUCUAUUUACAUUUUCAGGUAUUAAUUUUGUCAACUUCUAAUAUGUAUCAGGAAAAGAUUUUCACUGAAAAUUUUCUCAAGGGUUUUAAUCCUAGAUUCUUUUUUAAGUAUUGCCUUUUCAUCAAAGGAUCUAUUGGAUUUCUUUACAAUAUCCAAAUCUUCUCUUAUUAAAUGGAAAGUCCAUUAACUUUGUUGUAUACAACAUCUUUUCUACCCAAAGCUACUCUUUUAAAUUAUGAGCUGAAAACACAUUAUUCUGUAUAUGCUUGUAUUGUGAACUCUAUUUUUCAUGAGAUGUAUCUUAUUUAGUUGAGCGCAAUUACUGAUCAACCUCAGAGCUGUUCAGAUUUUUUUUUGUAUCUUGUUCAGAUAAGUAUACUUAGUCAAAUGCUUUUAUAUACUAUUUAUUUUCUUUCCCUUUUUUCUUGUCUCAUUUAACCUACCCAAGGUCUGCAUUCAGUGAAAUACAUGUCUCUAUUAUUUUUUGUCCUUUUUGUAUUUAUUUAUUUAUUUAUUUAUUUGAGAUGGAAUCUCAUUCUGUCUCCCAGGGUAGAUUGUAGUGGCACAAUCUCGGCUCACUGCAGCCUACACCUCCCAGGUUCAAGUAAUUCUCCUGCCUCAGCCUCCCGAAUAGCCGUGAUUACAGGCGCCCACCACCAUGCCCAGCUAAUUUUUGUGUUUUCAGUAGAGAUGGGGUUUCACCAUGUUGGCCAGGCUGGUCUCAAACUCCUGACCUCAGGUGAUCUGCCUGCCCUGGCCUCCCACAGUGCUGGGAUUAUAGGCACGAGCCACUGCGCCCAGUUCCUUUUUAUAUUUCUAUGUAGAAACAAUUCUUUAAAGUAGAUAGGAAAGUGCAGUUAUAUUAUUAUAUAGCUUUCUUCUGUAUACUAUGUGGAAUGCCUUUGCCACUAAGAUGGCUCAAUAAAAUGCAAAGUUAACAAAGAAUCUUAGAGCUGGAAGGAGUUUCAUAAGUAUAAGAGAGACUCUCAUUAUUAGAUUAACUAGCUUAACUUACUUUAUUUUAUUUUUUUUUUGAGAUGGAGUCUCACUCUGUUGCCCAGGCUGGAGUGCAGUGGUGCGAUCUCGGCCCACUGCAACCUCUGCUGCCCGGGUUCAAGCAAUCUCCUGCCUCAGCCUCCCGAGUAGCUGGGAUUACAGGUGCCUGCCACUGUGCCCGGCUAAUUUUUUGUAGUUUUUAGUAGAGACGGAGUUUCACCAUCUUGGCCAGGCUGGCCUUGAACUCCUGACCUCGUGAUCCACCUGCGUCAGCCUCCCAAAGUGCUGGGCUUACAGGCGUGAGCCAUCGCACCCGGCCUAGCUUAACUCAUUUACUUUAUUUUUUAUUUUUAUUUUUAUUUUUGAGACAGGAUCUUGCUCUGUUGCCCAGGCUGGAGUGCAGUGGUAUGAUCUCUGCUCACUGCAACCUCCGCCUCUUGUGUUCAAGUGAUUCUUGUGGCUCAGCCUCUUGAGUAGCUGGGAUUGCAGGCAUGCACCAUUAUACCUGGCUAAUUUUUGUAUUUUUAGUAGUGUUGGGGUUUUGCCAUGUUGGCCAGGGUGGUCUCGAACUCCUGACCUCAAGUGAUCUGCCACCUCGGCCUCCCAAAGUGUUGGGAUUACAGGUGUGAGCCACCAUGCUCAGUCAGCUUAGUUACUUUAAAGAUUAGGCAGCUGAGCCCAGAAACUAGCUGCUGGGAACAAAGCUAAGAUUGAACUCAGAUCUCCUGGUUCCUGGUUCUUAGUUUCAUACUGGCUGUGAAGGCCUCUGGGAAGAAUGUGUUACAUUGUUGGUCUCCAGGUUUGAUUUGUCCUGGUCCCUCUCUGGCUAAUUAGGGUGAGAGCCGCCAUCCUUCCUUCCCUGAGCUGCAUGCUUGAUUCAAGAGAAAAAUCUUUCUUUUGUCAUACAUGACACUGGCAUGUUUCUUUAGUGAUGAUAAAGGCGACAUGAUCAGUGGCAUGAAAUAAAGGUUUUGGAGUAUAUAAACCAUUUUUACAGCGGCUACAAAUUUUAGAAUGUGUGACUGCUAUUAUGUAUGAUGGUAAUCUUUUCAUAUGAUUGUAUUGGGCAAGUAUGUCUCAUUUCUAGGAUUUUUAUCUGUUUUGUUUGUCUUUUAUGGCAUAUGUGUACUUAGAAGUAAAUAUAGUUGGUACUAUAUAUAAUAUGUACAAUACAAUAAAAAAUAAUUUCAUUGUCCUUAUUUUGUUCUCACUGGACCUGUUGAGGUGGGAGAAUCGCUUGAACCUGGGAAGCGGAGGCUGCAGUGAGCUGAGAUUGCACCUCCAGUCUGGGCGACUUUGAGACCGUGUCUCGAAAA
This 3673-nucleotide long non-coding RNA is filed under the name Homo sapiens (human). RNAcentral's name for it is "HSALNT0386136". Lineage: Eukaryota; Metazoa; Chordata; Mammalia; Primates; Hominidae. The record is from RNAcentral.